CAAUUUGUUUUCCUCUUUCCAUGAUCUGAUGUAUAAACUUUAUCAGGAGAAAGAAGUAAGAAUACAAAGAAACUGAAGAAAGAAGCAUAAAAAGUCAUAGCAGAAAAUAUUUUUGCAGAUAUAGCCAUGCAUAAAAAGUAAGUGUUUUUUGAAGAAUAUUUCCCCAUCCGAGUACCAAAGUUAAACACAUUUUUCUUAAGUUAUUAGAGACUAAUUGACUAACCUUUUUAGUUGAUGUUGAAGAUGAAAAAUCUGAGAAAUGGAUUUAGAAUGAGGCAACAGAAAGUAUGGAACGGUUGCUUCUUUCUGUUCUUGUGUAUGUAUGAAUUCUCCCCUUUUCAACAAACCAACAGUUUGAGAUAAGAAGUUGAAAAUUCGUGUGGAGGAGAAGAGAUAAGGGUAUACGGGCACCAAAAUCACGAGGUUAGGGAGAAACAAAUGACAAAAAAUGGUUGGGCAUUAAAUUUGAAAGUGUCUUAAAUAUAUUUCCGAGUAGUUU
RNAcentral lists this long non-coding RNA (499 nucleotides) under Nicotiana tabacum (common tobacco). Its description in RNAcentral is "long non-coding RNA (NTAB_LNC003865)". Lineage: Eukaryota; Viridiplantae; Streptophyta; Magnoliopsida; Solanales; Solanaceae. The record is from RNAcentral.